This 612-nucleotide ribosomal RNA is filed under the name uncultured bacterium. RNAcentral's name for it is "bacterial SSU rRNA". It matches the Rfam family "Bacterial small subunit ribosomal RNA", at positions 338 to 951 of the family's 1533-position model. The record is from RNAcentral.
CCUACGGGAGGCAGCAGUAAGGAAUAUUGGUCAAUGGACGAAAGUCUGAACCAGCCAUGCCGCGUGAAGGAUGAAGGUCCUCUGGAUUGUAAACUUCUUUUAUUUGGGACGAAAAAAGGGUUAUCUAACUCACUUGACGGUACCAGAUGAAUAAGCACCGGCUAACUCCGUGCCAGCAGCCGCGGUAAUACGGAGGGUGCAAGCGUUAUCCGGAUUCACUGGGUUUAAAGGGUGCGUAGGCGGGUAGGUAAGUCAGCGGUGAAAUCCCCGAGCUUAACUUGGGAACUGCCGUUGAUACUAUUUAUCUUGAAUGUUGUGGAGGUUAGCGGAAUAUGUCAUGUAGCGGUGAAAUGCUUAGAUAUGACAUAGAACACCCAUUGCGAAGGCAGCUAACUACGCAAAUAUUGACGCUGAGGCACGAAAGCGUGGGGAUCAAACAGGAUUAGAUACCCUGGUAGUCCACGCCCUAAACGAUGAUUACUCGACAUUGGCGAUACACAGUCAGUGUCUGAGCGAAAGCAUUAAGUAAUCCACCUGGGAAGUACGAUCGCAAGAUUGAAACUCAAAGGAAUUGAACGGCUGAGAGAGACGAGACGACGACGAGGGAGGAGG